This 1498-nucleotide ribosomal RNA is filed under the name Sceloporus mucronatus (cleft lizard). Its description in RNAcentral is "16S ribosomal RNA". It matches the Rfam family "Bacterial large subunit ribosomal RNA". The record is from RNAcentral. Lineage: Eukaryota; Metazoa; Chordata; Lepidosauria; Squamata; Phrynosomatidae.
AAAAAUGUUAGAAACAGACUAACCUAUUUGAGCCGAACCUCUAGCCCACACACUUCAUCAAACUACUAACCAAAAUAAACAAACCAUUUGACACGACCAGUAAAGGCGAUUGAACAUCACACAUGGAGCAAAAGAUACAGUACCGCAAGGGAAACAUGAAAAAACAAUGAAAACUUAAAGCCAAACAAAGCAAGGACUAACCCCUGUACCUAUUGCAUCAUGGUCUAACAAGAACUACACAGACACGGCGCCCCAGCCUGUGCCCCCGAAAUCAAGUGAGCUACCUUAGAGCAACCUAUUGGGUUAACCCGUCCCUGUAGCAAAAGGGUGGGAAGACUCUAAGGUAGUGGUGAAAAGCCUAACGAACUUGUUGAUAGCUGGUUGCCUGACAAAUGAACCUAAGUUCAGCCUUAAAUUUAUUAAACAUAUUAUAGUAAAAAUUUAAUUUAAGACCUAAUCAAUGGGGGUACAGCCCCAUUGAACCGGGAUACCGCCCGAAGUAAAGAGCUAGUAUUAUACCACACACCAGUAGGCCUUAAAGCAGCCACCAUUAAAUUGCGUCACAGCAAACACCAAAAAAUUCCACACCUACAAACAACCUCUUACACCCACCUCAGCGCUAAUCUAUAAAAAUAUAGAAGAACUAAUGCUAGAACUAGUAACAAGAACCUAUCUCUACGCGCAACUGUAAACCAGUCACAGAAAAACUACUGAAAAUUAACAGCUAAAUAAAUAUGUUAACAAAUAUUAUAUUACCACUGUUAAACCGACACAGGAGUGCCAAAAAGAAAGAUCAACAGUUAAAGAAGGAACUCGGCAAACCAAUAUCCCAACUGUUUACCAAAAACAUAGCCUUUAGCUAUACAAGUAUUAAAGGUGACGCCUGCCCAGUGAACUAUUUUAACGGCCGCGGUAUCCUAACCGUGCAAAGGUAGCGUAAUCACUUGUCCCUUAAAUAGAGACUAGUAUGAACGGCUAAAUGAGGAUAGAUCUGUCUCCUUUAACAAAUCAGUGAAACUGAUCCACCAGUACAAAAGCUGGAAUAAUAUCAUAAGACGAGAAGACCCUGUGGAGCUUUAAAUUUAACCCAAACAAUAAGACAAAAAUUGGUACAUGGCUAAAAAUUUUAAGUUGGGGCGACUUCGGAAAAAAACUAAACUUCCGAGCAUAAGACUAUGUCAUACCAAGACCUACGAGUCUAAGCCAAAAUUGACCCAGUAAUACUGAUAAACGAACCAAGUUACCCCAGGGAUAACAGCGCAAUCUUCUUCAAGAGUUCCUAUCGACAAGAAGUUUACGACCUCGAUGUUGGAUCAGGACACCCAAAUGGUGUAGCCGCUAUUAAACAAUCCAGGUCGGUUUCUAUCUAUGUAGUUGUUUUCUUCAGUACGAAAGGACCAAGAAAACAGGACCAAUACUAACAGCACGUCCUAAACACAAGGCUGAACACAACUAAAGCCGGACAACACGCAACUGCCGCCCGAAGACAACGGGCUUA